Molecule: ribosomal RNA, 474 nt
Filed under: Triticum aestivum (bread wheat)
Lineage: Eukaryota; Viridiplantae; Streptophyta; Magnoliopsida; Poales; Poaceae
Description: partial small subunit ribosomal RNA
Source: RNAcentral
AUGUUUUUCUUGGCGAAUGCCGGAUUUGCUUGCGCUAAGCCUAUAUGGAAAUCGAAGGCGACCCCUAGAUGCAAAUUCUUCAUGUGGUUAGUGGUCCACAAGAGAUGCCAGACAACGGACAAUUUGCAGAGCAGGGGCUGGCCCAACGAUCCCUGCUGCCAACUAUGUCACUCGAAGCUGGAGGAUUGCACACACCUUUUUGUACACUGCAGAUAUACGCAACUUGUGUGGACAAGGAUCAAACAGUGGUCAGGCGCCAACUUCACAAUACCAAGUGAGAGCUACACUUCUACUGAAGACUGGUGGAUAAGCGCCAGGCAACAGAUACCCAAGACGAGGAGGCGCGUGUUCGACACCAUUACCACCCUGAUCCAUUGGCGAAUCUGGAAAGAGAGGAACGCCAGAGUCUUCGACCAGCAGGCCAGCAGUGUUGACAAGGUCUUUGAUGCUUUCAGGGAAGAUCUGGCCACCUAG